CUGUGUGAAGAAACGCUACAAUACGGAAAAAUGUUUGUGUGCUGCCAAAGCUGUUAACACACAGACACAAAAAACGUAACAUGAUCACCAAAACUCACCAAAACUAUAUCUUACAGAGGACACAGAUGGAUAUGGAUUUGGUCUGGCGGUUGNCAACAAAAUCGCUACAUCUGACAAUCAAAUUGUUUGCUGCGUAUAUGCAUCCAUAUACACACACAAUAUACUGAAAUUUAAGAAACAGAUUUUAACCAAGAUAAACAAAAUACUAUAUAAACUCGAUAUUAUAGAAAAUAGAAUUUGUAUGUUGGAUGAAAAAAUGCAAUCCUCGAAUAGUUUUAUUCAGGAAUUUGAUUGUCACUUUCCAAUAUCAACAUUAUUGGAACUAACACAUUUUGAAAAACAAUUACAAGAAACAAAAUUUAAACUGGGAGUUAUUAAUACCUUUAAACUCGUUGGAGGAAAUACUGCUCAUGCUAUGAUACGGAAUAUAUUACAAAAAGCAAUAACAAAUGAAUUAGCUCAAUAUUUCAGUUGGGCCGGAAAGAAAAAGAAACGUAGGUUUAAAGACUUGAAUCUUGCAACAAUAC
Pseudomyrmex gracilis is the source of this 587-nucleotide long non-coding RNA. RefSeq lists it as uncharacterized. NCBI's taxonomy places the organism in Eukaryota, Metazoa, Arthropoda, Insecta, Hymenoptera, Formicidae. The record is from RefSeq and is a predicted model, not a curated record. The transcript is spliced from 3 exons.